GACGAACGCUGGCGGCGUGCUUAACACAUGCAAGUCGAACGGAAAGGCCCUGCUUGCAGGGUACUCGAGUGGCGAACGGGUGAGUAACACGUGGGUGAUCUGCCCUGCACUUCGGGAUAAGCCUGGGAAACUGGGUCUAAUACCGGAUAGGAGCCAUUUUUAGUGUGAUGGUUGGAAAGUUUUUUCGGUGUAGGAUGAGCUCGCGGCCUAUCAGCUUGUUGGUGGGGUAAUGGCCUACCAAGGCGGCGACGGGUAGCCGGCCUGAGAGGGUGGACGGCCACAUUGGGACUGAGGUACGGCCCAGACACCUACGGGAGGCAGCAGGGGGGAAUAUUGCACAAGGGGCGCAAGCCGGAUGCAGCGACGCCGCGUGGGGGAUGACGGCCUUCGGGUUGUAAACUCCUUUCGCUAGGGACGAAGCUUUUUGUGACGGUACCUAGAUAAGAAGCACCGGCUAACUACGUG
Molecule: ribosomal RNA, 465 nt
Filed under: uncultured bacterium
Lineage: Bacteria
Description: partial 16S ribosomal RNA
Rfam family: Bacterial small subunit ribosomal RNA
Source: RNAcentral